UACGUAGGGUGCGAGCGUUGUCCGGAAUUACUGGGCGUAAAGGGCGCGUAGGCGGCUCGCUAAGUCGGGUGUGAAAACUCUGGGCUCAACCCAGAGCCUGCAUUCGAAACUGACGAGCUAGAGUUCUGGAGGGGAAAGCGGAAUUCCUGGUGUAGCGGUGAAAUGCGUAGAUAUCAGGAGGAACACCGGUGGCGAAGGCGGCUUUCUGGACAGAAACUGACGCUGAGGCGCGAAAGCUAGGGGAGCAAACAGG
RNAcentral lists this ribosomal RNA (253 nucleotides) under uncultured bacterium. Its description in RNAcentral is "partial 16S ribosomal RNA". It matches the Rfam family "Bacterial small subunit ribosomal RNA", at positions 524 to 776 of the family's 1533-position model. The record is from RNAcentral.